Molecule: ribosomal RNA, 461 nt
Filed under: uncultured bacterium
Lineage: Bacteria
Description: bacterial SSU rRNA
Rfam family: Bacterial small subunit ribosomal RNA
Source: RNAcentral
CAUGCAAGUCAGGGGCAGCACAAGGCAGCAAUGCUGAGGUGGCGACCGGCGCACGGGUGCGUAACGCGUAUCCAACCUUCCCGGUUACUCUUGGAUAGCCUUCCGAAAGGGAGAUUAAUACAAGAUGGUGUUGAAAUUCCGCAUGUUAUUUCAACUAAAGAUUUAUCGGUAACGGAUUGGCUCGCGUGACAUUAGCUAGAUGGAGAGGUAACGGCUCACCAUGGCGACGAUGUCUAGGGGAACUGAGAGGUUAAUCCCCCACACUGGUACUGAGACACGGACCAGACUCCUACGGGAGGCAGCAGUGAGGAAUAUUGGACAAUGGAUGGAAAUCUGAUCCAGCCAUGCCGCGUGCAGGAUGACGGCCCUAUGGGUCUUAAACUGCUUUUGUAUGGGAGCAAUAAGUUCUACGUGUACGGAUGAUGAGAGUACCAUACGAAUAAGCAUCGGCUAACUCCGUG